Long non-coding RNA from Spinacia oleracea (spinach), 2956 nucleotides. RefSeq lists it as uncharacterized. The transcript has 4 exons. Lineage: Eukaryota; Viridiplantae; Streptophyta; Magnoliopsida; Caryophyllales; Amaranthaceae. The record is from RefSeq and is a predicted model, not a curated record.
GUGAACAUAGAUGACAUGGGAUACACGGUCGUGAAUUUCAAUAAACCGGGUCAUCGUGAUGAGCCAUUCAUCAUGGCCUCUCAAGCAAAGCAAGUAUUUUAUAUGAUAGAUCCGGCUGACACUUCAAAGUCAGUAGUUAUUCAAGGAAAAAAGCACGGUGUUGCAGUUGCUGAUCUUGUACCAAAUGAAGAUGAGUAUGACCAAGUUGAUGAAAUCCCUGUUUUUUCUAUAUUUCAAAACACACCCGUGCAAGUAGACGAUUCAAUAGAUCAUCAUUUGCGAGGUGAUCACAAUGAAGGUGUAUGGGUUGUCCCAGAUUCGACUACAAAUAACUGAAAAAACUGAAAGUCAGUGAAGGGGCAGAUAAGGCUAAGGCUGCUGUAAUUUUGGUUUGGUUAUUUUGGUGCCGAUUUUUUUAUAUUAAGUAGUUGCUUAUUUUUCUGUUCUAUGCUAGUUGGUUUUGCGAUACUUAUCAGUUACCAGCUAAUAUUUGUUUGCUUGGUGUGAUUGAAUAUUGAAGCUUUGUUUUAAAUUUCUGUUUUAACUUUGAAUGUUAUUUUAUACAUAUCUGAAUAUGUGAAACAGCCUGUUUUUACCAUUUUAAUCCCUGCUCUGAGUUACCAGAAAUUUCCUGGUUUAUUGUUUCGUAGGGGAUUGAUAGGUUGUAAGGAUGCAGUGUUGUUUCUGUUGAUGUUCUGGUGCAGUUGUGUGUUCUGUUGUGUCUAUGGAGAUGUUUGCGAGAACCUAAACUGCAUAAGAAAACCUGUUCAUAUUACAUAGCUGCUCCUAGGGACUUCUAUUCAUAUGAGAUCUAAUUUAAAGUGUCUGGAUGUCAUAUGACCUCAUGCAAAUCAAGCAGACCUUUAACCCGACCAUCUCUUAGAUUUCUAUAUCUAUUAACUACUGAAUUGUAUUUACGUCAUCAGUGAGAAUCCCACAUUCUCUAGCAAUUGCCUUCGCAGUAUUUACCAUACAGACAGUAAUACCAGCUGACCUGCAGAUUGCAACAGAUUCCUUGACACCAGAACAUACUGAAUCUUUGAUGCCUACUAUAGCAAUGCAUGUAUCCUUUUUCAGGAAUAGAACUAUCAGUAGAGAAACUUUCUUCAUCAUUAGCAAAUUCUUCAAUUGUUGCAUUUAAAUGUUGAACUGCUGAUUUAUCAAGGAGAUAAUAACACCAUCUGAGUCAACAACCUUGUCACACGCAGCCAAAAUAAUCUCAGAAGCACCCUUACAGUGUGCCCUCAGACCUCCACUAGGAAUUUCAGAUGAAGUGUGAAACUCCUUAAAGUUGCUAGCUUCCAAAGUUUUCCCACAAAUGUGAGCUUUGACAACAGUCUUAUGAUUAGUUGUAAGUGUUCCUGUUUUAUCACUGUAGAUAGAAGUAGCAGAUCCCAUUGUCUCACAGGCAGCAAGGUUACCAACAAGAGCCUUGUCAUUCAUCAUUUUCUUCAUUGCAACCUAUCAAAUCCCCUACCAAAUCUGCUCAAAUAAGGAACUUAAUAAAUUUUUGGUUAAGGAUCUAAAUUUUGUGACCUCGUUCUUGUGAAAGAUACUAAUGAUAUCUAUGUGCUAAUAUUUCUUUUCUAACAAUCACUAUAAUGGUCAGGUUUGUUGGUAGGGCUUCUGAAAAUGACAAUCGCUCUCCUGCUAACAAUGAAAAUCCAAAAAAGUCAAGUCAAAGACCACUAGAGGGCCUUCAACAGCCAAGUACAUCAUUGUAAAAGAUGAUGGACUAUUUCCUCUACAUGGAAUGAGCAUAAUUGUGCGAUCGGAGAGUUUAAGAAUAGAUACACACAGGGUAUAUGGCACUUGCUAAGGUAAAGAUCACCAUUGCAGAUUGGAGUCAAGUUGCAGAAGAUACUAAGGAAAUAUUGUGGACUGCUGUUAAGAAAAUGUUCAUGUGUGAUGAUGAUAAGAAAGAAGCAGUACUUAAGGAUUGCAACAAAAGGUGGAAAGAAUUCAAAACAAGAUUGACACGAGAAUACUUCACCAGUGAAGAGAAAGAGAAAGAUGCAGUGGAGGACCCGUUGUCAAAAAAAAGAAAAAAAAAAUGUAGUGGAUGACCCACCAUGGGAUCUGUAUGUGGGCAUUGACGAGGAUGAUUGGAAAGAGUUUAAAAGACAACGUGAAAGUGAUGAAUUUAAGGCUAUAAGUGCAAGAAAGAGAGAUAACCAAGCUAGAAACGAGCACCCCCAUCAUUUGGGUAGUGGUGGAUAUGCAACAAGAGAAAAUCAAUACAUCAAAGAGUAGAUUAAACAACCCCUUUUGUCAGGUUCAUCAUCUGAGAAACCCAUAUUGACUCCGAGACCUCGUCAUGAGAGCUGGAUCGAGGGAAGAAAAGACAAGACGGGUAGGAUCACAAACAAAAGACUCAAGCGAUAGUAGAUUUGAUAUAUCAACUGGUAGAAAAAGAAAAGUCAGGCGAGUUUAAAUCUGUUAGAAGCCAUGACAUCUUGAUUGAAGCGCUUGGGAAUGCAGAGCAUGGUGGCCAUGUUAGGGGAGUUGGAGGGAGAGCAACUAUUACUUAAAUUUUUAAAAGGAAGAAGAGAAGUUUUAAAAUGAAGGAGUAUUUACAUAUGCGCAAGUGGAAACAUUUGCUCGUCUUGUCACAUAACAAAUAAGGGACCAAACAAGAGCUGAAAUGAGAGUUGUUGCCAUUGACAUACUCAAAUCUUGCGGUGUAAAAGUUCCUACUGAUGUUGAGGUGGAUAUGCACCCUAAAUAACCUUAGUAGUUGCCAGUCAGUCGAUGUUAUUGAUCAGCUAGUUAGUACUGAUAAGCCGGCUGAUAUUGAUCAGAUUGAUCAUGUUGAUCCUCCCCUAUUCGCAAACGAAUCUAAGGUAUUUACCCAUUUUAUUUAUUACGUAUAAUUUAAUAUUGUAAUUGUAUUUAUAUUAAUCCCACGUUUUGAAAAAUUUUACCUACAGGACGAACUUCCUUGUGACCUUAUUGU